RNAcentral lists this transfer RNA (61 nucleotides) under Heterocephalus glaber (naked mole-rat). It matches the Rfam family "tRNA", at positions 6 to 65 of the family's 71-position model. From Rfam's summary of the family: Transfer RNA (tRNA) molecules are approximately 80 nucleotides in length. Lineage: Eukaryota; Metazoa; Chordata; Mammalia; Rodentia; Bathyergidae. The record is from Rfam by way of RNAcentral.
UGUAGCUCAGUGGCAGAGCACUUGACUGGCAUGCAUGAAGCCUUGGGUUACAUCCCCAGCA